CAGCCGCCGCGGUAAUACAGAGGGUUCGAGCGUUAAUCGGAUUUACUGGGCGUAAAGCGUGCGUUGUCGGCUUUUUAAGUCGGAUGUGAAAUCCCUGAGCUUAACUUAGGAAUUGCAUUCGAUACUGGGAAGCUAGAGUAUGGGAGAGGAUGGUAGAAUUCCAGGUGUAGCGGUGAAAUGCGUAGAGAUCUGGAGGAAUACCGAUGGCGAAGGCAGCCAUCUGGCCUAAUACUGACGCUGAGGUACGAAAGCAUGGGGAGCAAACAGGAUUAGAUACCCCAGUAGUCCCUGUCUCUUAUAC
RNAcentral lists this ribosomal RNA (301 nucleotides) under uncultured bacterium. RNAcentral describes it as "partial 16S ribosomal RNA". It matches the Rfam family "Bacterial small subunit ribosomal RNA", at positions 509 to 807 of the family's 1533-position model. The record is from RNAcentral.